GGGGUUGUGGCUCAGUGGUUGAGCACUCGCCUAGCACGUGAGAGGCCCAGGGUUCAAUUCUCAGCACCAUUU
Ictidomys tridecemlineatus (thirteen-lined ground squirrel) is the source of this 72-nucleotide non-coding RNA. The record is from Rfam. Lineage: Eukaryota; Metazoa; Chordata; Mammalia; Rodentia; Sciuridae.